RNAcentral lists this ribosomal RNA (458 nucleotides) under uncultured bacterium. RNAcentral's name for it is "partial 16S ribosomal RNA". It matches the Rfam family "Bacterial small subunit ribosomal RNA", at positions 338 to 795 of the family's 1533-position model. The record is from RNAcentral.
CCUACGGGUGGCAGCAGUGGGGAAUAUUGGUCAAUGGGCGAGAGCCUGAACCAGCCAAGUCGCGUGAGGGAGUACUGCCCUAUGGGUUGUAAACAUCUUUUGUCGGGGAGCAAAAGCCGGACGUGUCCGGCUGUGAGAGUACCCGAAGAAAAAGCAUCGGCUAAAUCCGUGCCAGCAGCCGCGGUAAUACGGAGGAUGCGAGGGUUAUCUGGAUUUGUUGGGGUUAAAGGGUGCGCAGGCGGAGUUUUAUGUCAGCGGGAAAAUCGUGGGGCUCAACCCCAUCCCGCCGUUGAAACUGGGGAUCUAGAGUGUGCGAGAGGGAUGCGGAAUGCGUGGUGUAGCGGUGAAAUGCAUAGAGAUCAGGCAGAACCCCGAUGGCGAAGGCAGCAUACUGGUGCACAACUGACGCUCAGGCGCGAAAGCGUGGGUAUCGAACAGGAUUAGAUACCCUAGUAGUC